RNAcentral lists this ribosomal RNA (207 nucleotides) under uncultured bacterium. RNAcentral's name for it is "partial 16S ribosomal RNA". It matches the Rfam family "Bacterial small subunit ribosomal RNA", at positions 568 to 774 of the family's 1533-position model. The record is from RNAcentral.
GGCGUAGGCGGUCCUUCAAGUCGGAUGUAAAAUCUCCCGGCUCAACUGGGAGAGCCCAUUCGAAACUGCUGGGCUAGAGGAUAGCAGAGGGAGGUGGAAUUCCCGGUGUAGUGGUGAUAUGCGUAGAUAUCGGGAGGAACACCAGUGGCGAAGGCGGCCUCCUGGGCUAUUUCUGACGCUGAGGCCCAAAAGCGUGGGGAGCGAACA